GAAGGUAUAGCUCAGUGGUAGAGCACGUGCUUAGCACGCACAAGAUCCUAGGUUCGAUCCCCAGUACCUAUA
Molecule: transfer RNA, 72 nt
Filed under: Camelus bactrianus (Bactrian camel)
Lineage: Eukaryota; Metazoa; Chordata; Mammalia; Artiodactyla; Camelidae
Also listed under: 1 other name
Rfam family: tRNA
About the family: Transfer RNA (tRNA) molecules are approximately 80 nucleotides in length. Their secondary structure includes four short double-helical elements and three loops (D, anti-codon, and T loops).
Source: Rfam by way of RNAcentral